This 71-nucleotide transfer RNA is filed under the name Loxodonta africana (African savanna elephant). It matches the Rfam family "tRNA". Rfam says of the family: Transfer RNA (tRNA) molecules are approximately 80 nucleotides in length. Their secondary structure includes four short double-helical elements and three loops (D, anti-codon, and T loops). Further hydrogen bonds mediate the characteristic L-shaped molecular structure. tRNAs have two regions of fundamental functional importance: the anti-codon, which is responsible for specific mRNA codon recognition, and the 3' end, to which the tRNAs corresponding amino acid is attached (by aminoacyl-tRNA synthetases). tRNAs cope with the degeneracy of the genetic code in two manners: having more than one tRNA (with a specific anti-codon) for a particular amino acid; and 'wobble' base-pairing, i.e. permitting non-standard base-pairing at the 3rd anti-codon position. The record is from Rfam by way of RNAcentral. Lineage: Eukaryota; Metazoa; Chordata; Mammalia; Proboscidea; Elephantidae.
GCAAUGAUGGUUCAGUGGUAGAAUUCUCACUUUCAAUGUGGGAGACCUGGGUUUGACUCCCAGCCAAUACA